Cyclopterus lumpus (lumpfish) is the source of this 272-nucleotide long non-coding RNA. RefSeq lists it as uncharacterized. The record is from RefSeq and is a predicted model, not a curated record. The transcript has 3 exons. Lineage: Eukaryota; Metazoa; Chordata; Actinopteri; Perciformes; Cyclopteridae.
UUUGCACAGUGACAGACUGAAUUAUAAAACACUGAAAUAGUUUAAAACAUUGAGAGCAGAAAGAGGAGGAAUUCAUAACUUUUCAUCUCAUAUCUUGUCAUUUUGGAUUCAGAAAAAAACAAGAUGGGUGUUGGAAAGAUAGUAUCUAUUCUCCUGAUUCUGAUAGUGCUGCAUACAACAGUGGAAUCAACAACAACGGCCGCACCGACAACAACAGCCGCCCUAACAACGGCCGCUGCGACAACAACGGCUGCACCGACAACAACAGCCGC